RNAcentral lists this long non-coding RNA (204 nucleotides) under Mytilus galloprovincialis (Mediterranean mussel). Lineage: Eukaryota; Metazoa; Mollusca; Bivalvia; Mytilida; Mytilidae. The record is from RNAcentral.
ACAAAAUGCCCCAAAACAACAUUUUUUGAUUAUUUUUGUUGACACAAAAGUUCUUAGCUGUUGGUCUAGAUUUUAUGUCUUACAAGGAUAGUUGGUAACAUUUACUUAGUAGAAUAAUUUUUGCAACAUGUUCAGAACAGGCAACAUUAUUCGGAUAAGAUAUAAACGGCAGUUUAAAUACAAUUGUGCAAAUUAAGAGACCCA